Molecule: ribosomal RNA, 485 nt
Filed under: Yoyuteris iviei
Lineage: Eukaryota; Metazoa; Arthropoda; Insecta; Orthoptera; Phalangopsidae
Description: partial 16S ribosomal RNA
Rfam family: Bacterial large subunit ribosomal RNA
Source: RNAcentral
CUUCAUGUUGGUGGUGUGAGGUCGUGCCUGUCCACUGAAUUUUGAAGGGCCGCGGUAUUUUGACCGUGCAAAGGUAGCAUAAUCAUUAGUCUUUUAAUUGGGGACUGGAAUGAAUGGUUUGACAAGGUAAUUACUGUCUCUUUUGUAUUGAAUGAAUUUAAUUUUUAAGUUAAAACGCUUAAUUGUUGAAGGGGGACGAGAAGACCCUAUAGUUCUUUGUUUGACUAAUUAUUAGUUGGUAGGUGAUUUAUUUAUUAGUUAUGUUAGAUUAAUUUGAUUGAGGUGAUCAGAGAAUUUAUUUAACUUCUUUUGAAAUUUAUUUUGAUUGAAAUAUAAGGGAUCCUAUAUUAUGGGUGGAAGAUUAAGAUACCUUAGAGAUAACAGCGUUAUUCUAUUUGAGAGAUCGUAUUGACAAUAGAGUUUUGGACCUCGAUGUUGGAUUAAGAUUGCGGGUUGGCGUAGUAGUUAUCUGUGUUAGUCUGUUC